GAACGAACGCUGGCGGCAUGCCUAACACAUGGCAAGUCGAACGAGACCUUCGGGUCUAGUGGCGCACGGGUGCGUAACGCGUGGGAACCUGCCUUUAGGUUCGGAAUAACUCAGAGAAAUUUGAGCUAAUACCGGAUAAUGUCUUCGGACCAAAGAUUUAUCGCCUUUAGAUGGGCCCGCGUUGGAUUAGCUAGUUGGUGGGGUAAAGGCCUACCAAGGCGACGAUCCAUAGCUGGUCUGAGAGGAUGAUCAGCCACACUGGGACUGAGACACGGCCCAGACUCCUACGGGAGGCAGCAGUGGGGAAUAUUGGACAAUGGGCGAAAGCCUGAUCCAGCAAUGCCGCGUGAGUGAUGAAGGCCUUAGGGUUGUAAAGCUCUUUUACCCGAGAUGAUAAUGACAGUAUCGGGAGAAUAAGCUCCGGCUAACUCCGUG
RNAcentral lists this ribosomal RNA (435 nucleotides) under uncultured bacterium. RNAcentral describes it as "bacterial SSU rRNA". It matches the Rfam family "Bacterial small subunit ribosomal RNA", at positions 27 to 507 of the family's 1533-position model. The record is from RNAcentral.